Molecule: ribosomal RNA, 2208 nt
Filed under: Lactiplantibacillus pentosus
Lineage: Bacteria; Bacillati; Bacillota; Bacilli; Lactobacillales; Lactobacillaceae
Description: partial 23S ribosomal RNA
Rfam family: Bacterial large subunit ribosomal RNA
Source: RNAcentral
UAGACCCGAAACCAGGUGACCUAUCCAUGUCCAGGUUGAAGGUGCGGUAAAACGCACUGGAGGACCGAACCCGUGUAAGUUGAAAAUUGCUGGGAUGAGGUGUGGAUAGCGGUGAAAUUCCAAACGAACUUGGAGAUAGCUGGUUCUCUCCGAAAUAGCUUUAGGGCUAGCCUCGGAUUAAGGAUCAUGGAGGUAGAGCACUAUUUGGACUAGGGGCCCGUCUUGGGUUACUGAAUUCAGAUAAACUCCGAAUGCCAUUGAUUCAUGUCCGGGAGUCAGACGAUGAGUGAUAAGAUCCACCGUCGAAAGGGGAACAGCCCAGACCAUCAGUUAAGGUCCCUAAAUGUAUGCUAAGUGGAAAAGGAUGUGGAGUUGCAUAGACAACUAGGAUGUUGGCUCAGAAGCAGCCACCAUUUAAAGAGUGCGUAAUAGCUCACUAGUCGAGUGAUCCUGCGCCGAAAAUGUACCGGGGCUAAGCAUACUACCGAAACCAUGGAUGCGACCAUUAGGUCGCGUGAUAGGAGAGCGUUCUAAGGGCGGUGAAGCAAGAUCGUGAGGACUUGUGGAGCGCUUAGAAGUGAGAAUGCCGGUAUGAGUAGCGAAAGAUAGGUGAGAAUCCUAUCCACCGAAUGACUAAGGUUUCCUGGGGAAGGCUCGUCCUCCCAGGGUUAGUCGGGACCUAAGUCGAGGCCGAGAGGCGUAGACGAUGGAUAACAGGUUGAGAUUCCUGUACUAGUUAAGUGCGUUUGAGCAAUGGAGGGACGCAGGAGGCUAAGAUGUGCAUUCUGUUGGAUUAGAAUGUCCAAGCAGUAAGUCUUGUGGAGAGUCAAAUGCUUUUCACUUUAAGGACAAGCUGUGAUGGGGAGCGAAAUUUAGUAGCGAAGCGUCUGAUGUCACACUGCCGAGAAAAGCUUCUAGUGAGUACUUAACUACCCGUACCGCAAACCGACACAGGUAGUCGAGGAGAGAAUCCUAAGGUGAGCGAGUGAACUCUCGUUAAGGAACUCGGCAAAAUGACCCCGUAACUUCGGGAGAAGGGGUGCUGAUCGCAAGAUCAGCCGCAGUGAAUAGGCCCAGGCGACUGUUUAUCAAAAACACAGGUCUCUGCAAAAUCGUAAGAUGACGUAUAGGGGCUGACGCCUGCCCGGUGCUGGAAGGUUAAAAGGAUGGGUUAGCUUCGGCGAAGCUCAGAAUUGAAGCCCCAGUAAACGGCGGCCGUAACUAUAACGGUCCUAAGGUAGCGAAAUUCCUUGUCGGGUAAGUUCCGACCCGCACGAAAGGCGUAACGAUCUGGGCACUGUCUCAACGAGAGACUCGGUGAAAUUAUAUUGUCCGUGAAGAUGCGGACUACCCGCGACAGGACGGAAAGACCCCAUGGAGCUUUACUGUAGCUUGAUAUUGAGUGUUUGUACAGCUUGUACAGGAUAGGUAGGAGCCAUAGAAACCGGAACGCUAGUUUCGGUGGAGGCGUUGGUGGGAUACUACCCUCGCUGUAUGACCACUCUAACCCGCACCACUAAUCGUGGUGGGAGACAGUGUCAGGUGGGCAGUUUGACUGGGGCGGUCGCCUCCUAAAAAGUAACGGAGGCGCCCAAAGGUUCCCUCAGAAUGGUUGGAAAUCAUUCGCAGAGUGUAAAGGCACAAGGGAGCUUGACUGCGAGACAGACAGGUCGAGCAGGGACGAAAGUCGGGCUUAGUGAUCCGGUGGUACCGUAUGGAAGGGCCAUCGCUCAACGGAUAAAAGCUACCCUGGGGAUAACAGGCUUAUCUCCCCCAAGAGUCCACAUCGACGGGGAGGUUUGGCACCUCGAUGUCGGCUCAUCGCAUCCUGGGGCUGUAGUCGGUCCCAAGGGUUGGGCUGUUCGCCCAUUAAAGCGGUACGCGAGCUGGGUUCAGAACGUCGUGAGACAGUUCGGUCCCUAUCCGUCGCGGGCGUAGGAAAUUUGAGAGGACCUGUCCUUAGUACGAGAGGACCGGGAUGGACAUACCUCUGGUGUACCAGUUGUGCCGCCAGGCGCAUCGCUGGGUAGCUACGUAUGGAUGUGAUAAACGCUGAAAGCAUCUAAGUGUGAAACACACCUCGAGAUGAGAUUUCCCAUUCCUUUAUGGAAGUAAGACCCCUGAAAGAUGAUCAGGUAGAUAGGUUAGAAGUGGCAGUGCGGUGACGCAUGAAGCGGACUAAUACUAAUCGGUCGAGGACUUAACCAA